Molecule: ribosomal RNA, 274 nt
Filed under: uncultured bacterium
Lineage: Bacteria
Description: partial 16S ribosomal RNA
Rfam family: Bacterial small subunit ribosomal RNA
Source: RNAcentral
AUACGAAGGGGGCUAGCGUUGUUCGGAAUUACUGGGCGUAAGGCGCGCGUAGGCGGAUUGGUCAGUUAGGGGUGAAAUCCCAGGGCUUAACCCUGGAACUGCCUCUAAUACUGCCAGUCUCGAGUUCGGGAGAGGUGAGUGGAAUUCCUAGUGUAGAGGUGAAAUUCGUAGAUAUUAGGAAGAACACCAGUGGCGAAGGCGGCUCACUGGCCCGAUACUGACGCUGAGGCGCGAAAGCGUGGGGAGCAAACAGGAUUAGAAACCCCGGUAGUCC